Non-coding RNA from Podarcis muralis (Common wall lizard), 1302 nucleotides. The record is from RefSeq and is a predicted model, not a curated record. Lineage: Eukaryota; Metazoa; Chordata; Lepidosauria; Squamata; Lacertidae.
UUUGCCCAGUGUGGGGCUUGAACCCACAACCCUGAGAUUAAGAGUCUCAUGCUUUACCAACUGAGCUACCCAGCAGCUAGUGAGGGGACACCUUUGUGGUGAAGGAGAUUCCCUAGACAAUCCUAUCUGAGCCUUGUCUAGAGUGGACACCCCAGGUCUUGGGGAUUGUGAGAGGGGUCUGUGGAUCAGGACGGCCUCUCUCAUGCAGGAGGCAGUAAGUCAGAAAGAAGAUGAGCUUCCAUUACUCCAAAUUGACCCAGGGCUAGACUCACCCAUAAAGACUCAGGCAAUGAGGAUGUAACAAAGCUAGCUCCAUCUCGAUGGAUUCCACACAGCUGUGAGUCUGCUAAGUUAAAAUAAAGGUUUUGGGUCCAAUCUUAAGUCAUUUCUCUUAUUUAUUUUCAAAAAAACAACACACAUUGCAGGACUCGGAAGCCAAAUUGCCAAUAACACCAGGGAAAAGAGCCGUGAAACUCUUCCCAACAAAUAUCACUCCUUGCCAUCGGAAAGGCAGCACAAAUAUUCAAAUAUGCUCCAACUGUUUCUCUCCCUCCAGCAAAGCACACACAGAUGUUGGUAUCCUCUAUGAGGAAGACACAACUGAUCAACCAACUCCAGGCAUAUUGAACGGAAGCUGGAAGCGAUCUUGAAUGCAGAGGGUUGUAGUCAAUUAGCCCUACUCAGAGUAGACCUGUUCACGACGAUCCACGUCUGAGCUCAAUACCUGCCAUUGAAAGUGAAAAAGCAGAUAACGGUGAUAACUGGGAUGAGGAAGAGGGUGCAUAUGGUGAGGAAGAUGAAGAAAUUGAUAGUGAUGAGAAGUAUCGAAUGAAAGAAUGCAUUGUGAAGAAGUUAAAGAAAGAUGCUGAUCUAACAGCUCAAAAACCAACUAAAGAGAAGAAAACAGAGAAGAAAAGUGAGCCACAGUGAGGACCUACAGAAGGAAGUGCGCCAGCUGAAACGUGAACUGUUAGCAGCAAAGCAAAAGAAAGAAGAAAAUGCCUCCAAACUAGAGGAGAAUAAAAUUGAAGAUGACAAAGCUGCUCCAAACAGCAUUGUUGCAGAAUAUCUGGAAGAAGAAAAGAAAUAUGAACAACUGAAACAGCACAGCCAAAGAAAGGACUUUCACAUGAAGUUCAGAUGCUGGCAUUGCUGGACAGAUUCAAAUCUACUGAAAUGAAUUGGCAUGACUAGCUUAUACCCAUUUAUUCCAAUAGGCUUCCUGUAAGUAGGAGUUGGCUACAAUCCAUAUUAUUUAUGCAUUAUUGCAGAGUAUUAUUAAAUUUGCUUACUUAUUCCAAA